GGUUGUAGUUCAGUGGUAGAGCGCUCGCCUAUCACAUGUGAGGCACUGGUUUCGAUCCUCAGUACAUCA
Molecule: transfer RNA, 69 nt
Filed under: Marmota monax (woodchuck)
Lineage: Eukaryota; Metazoa; Chordata; Mammalia; Rodentia; Sciuridae
Description: tRNA.Asp
Source: RNAcentral